AAUCCAUGAUGGGGGUACAAUCUUAGCAUUCCUUUAAAUCUGUCCUAGGCUGCAUACAAAGAUUCACCAUCAUUUUGUAUGAAGCUUGCGAUAAGAUUUCUCAUAUG
Zingiber officinale is the source of this 107-nucleotide small nucleolar RNA. NCBI's taxonomy places the organism in Eukaryota, Viridiplantae, Streptophyta, Magnoliopsida, Zingiberales, Zingiberaceae. The record is from RefSeq and is a predicted model, not a curated record.